This 73-nucleotide transfer RNA is filed under the name Cochranella adenocheira. RNAcentral describes it as "transfer RNA-Leu". It matches the Rfam family "tRNA". From Rfam's summary of the family: Transfer RNA (tRNA) molecules are approximately 80 nucleotides in length. Their secondary structure includes four short double-helical elements and three loops (D, anti-codon, and T loops). Lineage: Eukaryota; Metazoa; Chordata; Amphibia; Anura; Centrolenidae. The record is from RNAcentral.
GUUAAUGUAGUAAAACCUGGUAUUACAAAAGACCUAAACUCUUUCCACAGGGGUUCAAAUCCCCUCACUAACU